Molecule: long non-coding RNA, 932 nt
Organism: Magnolia sinica
Lineage: Eukaryota; Viridiplantae; Streptophyta; Magnoliopsida; Magnoliales; Magnoliaceae
Exons: 2
Source: RefSeq, a predicted model, not a curated record
GUGAGCUAUUUAAGUGAUUGCAAAUAUGUUCUACAGAUAAGGGACUUGGAAACAGGUCUAUUUCAACAUCCCAUACCGCUAGACAUAGUUACCGUUUACAGGAUUUCUGGAUCCCAUCCUAUGUCUAACAAUAGACCCCUUCUGUAGAACAUCUUCAUUUCUGGAACCUCACCGCUAGACAUAGGUGCAACUUAGCAACUGAGGUUCCAGAAAUGAAGAUAUUCUGUGAGAUUUUUAUAUCUAGAUUUGAUCGCACAAAGUUCUAGGUUAAUCAGGUAAGCUUAUUGUAAAACAAAAAAUAUAUGUUUUGUGCUGCAAACCUAAAGGCUUUCUUACUGUUAUGGUAUCUGUCUUUCAGAUAUACUCUUCUCGCAAUGAGCCGUAUAUGCUUUUCAAGGUAUUUUACUAAGUGAACAAAAGAUCCUCCAUAAUCAUUUAAAUCCCAUGGUUGUGUGGUUUUGAUGUUGAUUUGUUUAUUUAGGACACUUGUAAUAGUUCACAGACUGUUAUGCCUACUAUUGCUCUUGCAGUAGUUGGAGAUCGGAGGAUAUCUUUAGGUCCUGGAGCAGGUUGUGCCGGCCUUGCUAUAUAGCUAGAACUAGGAUAUCGCCAAGCAUGUCUUGCAGCCAACAGGCCAGAGUUACCUGUUGAGGUUGCAGGGCCUGCUGCGCAUAGUUCGAAUGGAGAAUGCUGGUAGAGGCAAUGAUGAUGUUGACCUGGAAGCAGCAGAAGAUGGACAUGCAGUGUUAUCUCAGGGCCCGCCAAGCACGACGGCAUCGAUGAUGAUGGGCGCGACCAUGACUUUAUAUUAUUUGUGGAACCUAAUGUUGUGCAACAGUUUGAUUGAGUUAAACUUUAAAUAGACUGUUGUUAACUGUUUUGUUGGUAUUGUGGCUUUCAUGAUUGAUUGUUUCAUGAGUGGAUUGAAUAAA